Molecule: ribosomal RNA, 277 nt
Filed under: uncultured bacterium
Lineage: Bacteria
Description: partial 16S ribosomal RNA
Rfam family: Bacterial small subunit ribosomal RNA
Source: RNAcentral
GAUGAACGCUGGCGGCGUGCCUAAUACAUGCAAGUCGAGCGGUAAGGCUCCUUCGGGAGUACACGAGCGGCGGACGGCUGAGUAACGCGUAGGAACGUACCCCAAAGUGAGGGAUAAGCACCAGAAAUGGUGUCUAAUACCGCAUGUGAUCUAAGGAUGAAAGCCUUCGGGCGCUUUGGGAACGGCCUGCGUAUGAUUAGCUUGUUGGUGAGGUAAUGGCUCACCAAGGCGACGAUCAUUAGCUGGUCUGAGAGGAUGAUCAGCCAGACUGGGACUG